Molecule: long non-coding RNA, 773 nt
Organism: Phyllostomus hastatus (greater spear-nosed bat)
Lineage: Eukaryota; Metazoa; Chordata; Mammalia; Chiroptera; Phyllostomidae
Exons: 3
Source: RefSeq, a predicted model, not a curated record
GGUACCUAUGAGCCUGGCAGAACCUCAGGGUUUACUGAAAGCCAUAUCUACAGAGGAGGCAGCAGACACCAUGGGAUCCCUUUCAGUCUCUACCAUCAGAGGACUUGUCCACUGGCAAGGCCUCCUGCUCAUUCUCUCACUCUUAAACUUCUGGUGCUUGCCCACCAUGGCCCAACAGGAUAUGUGGUUGAAAAAUGCUGCUGAAGGGGAGAAUCUGCACUUAAAUAUCCACAACAUGCCGCCUGAUGUAAAACGUGUUUGCAUGGUACAGAGGGACAGUCCCAGACAGAUAUCAUAUAUUUGCUUUUCUUGUACGAUAUGAAGACCACCAUGUAAGAUUUCCAAAAACUGGACGAGUGACAUUAAACUCCAAUGGAUCUUUGCUGUUAAAGAAGGUCACCAAGGGAGAUGCAGGAAUCUACACCAUAGCAGUGGAAAAACAGGAUUCCAAAACAUUAAUAGGAUAUGGGAAGCUCAGUGUAUAUCGGCGUGUGAGAAAGCCCACCCUGCGAGCCAGCAACACCACAGUCACAGAGGAUAAGGAUGCUGUGGUCUUGACCUGCAACUCAAAUGAGCUCACCAUCCAGUGGUUGUUCAAUGGCAAAGAACUGCAGCCCACAGAGCGAAUGAAGUUGUCCCAGGACCGCAGAAGCCUCACCAUAGACCCUGUCAAGAGGGAAGAUGCUGGGAAUUACCAGUGUGAAGCCUCCAACCCCAUCAGUUCUGUUGCAAGUGUGCCUCUUGAGCUGGAUGUGAAAUUGGAGUGACUCUCC